CACGGGGGGAGCAAGCGUUGUUCGGAAUCACUGGGCGUAAAGGGCGUGUAGGCGGCCAGGUAGGUCUGCUGUGAAAACUCGAGGCUCAACCUCGAGACGUCGGCGGAAACCAUCUGGCUAGAGUCCGGAAGAGGAGAGUGGAAUUCCUGGUGUAGCGGCGAAAUGCGCAGAUAUCAGGAAGAACACCCGUGGCGAAGGCGGCUCUCUGGGACGGUACUGACGCUGAGACGCGAAAGCGUGGGGAGCGAACGGG
RNAcentral lists this ribosomal RNA (253 nucleotides) under uncultured bacterium. RNAcentral describes it as "partial 16S ribosomal RNA". It matches the Rfam family "Bacterial small subunit ribosomal RNA", at positions 524 to 776 of the family's 1533-position model. The record is from RNAcentral.